This 474-nucleotide ribosomal RNA is filed under the name uncultured bacterium. RNAcentral describes it as "bacterial SSU rRNA". It matches the Rfam family "Bacterial small subunit ribosomal RNA", at positions 15 to 507 of the family's 1533-position model. The record is from RNAcentral.
GAUCAUGGCUCAGGACGAACGCUGGCGGCGUGCUUCAUACAUGCAAGUCGAACGAGAAUCGAUAGCUUGCUAUCGAGGAAAGUGGCGGACGGGUGAGUAAUAUGUAGAGAAUCUGCCCUAGAGCGGGGGACAACAGCUGGAAACGGUUGCUAAUACCCCAUAUGAGCGUACUUGAGAUAGUAUUCUUGAAAACUCCGGUGCUCUAGGAUGAGUCUGCAUCUGAUUAGCUAGUUGGGGGUGUAAUGGGACCACCAAGGCGACGAUCAGUAGCUGGUUUGAGAGGAUGAUCAGCCACAAUGGGACUGAGACACGGCCCAUACUCCUACGGGAGGCAGCAGUAGGGAAUUUUGCGCAAUGGGGGCAACCCUGACGCAGCAACGCCGCGUGAUUGAUUAAGCCCUUCGGGGUGUAAAGAUCUGUCAGUGGGGACGAAACUUGACGGUACCCACAGAGGAAGCAUCGGCUAACUCCGUG